This 1110-nucleotide ribosomal RNA is filed under the name Acanthostigmina minuta. RNAcentral describes it as "eukaryotic LSU rRNA". It matches the Rfam family "Eukaryotic large subunit ribosomal RNA", at positions 22 to 1155 of the family's 3401-position model. Lineage: Eukaryota; Fungi; Ascomycota; Dothideomycetes; Tubeufiales; Tubeufiaceae. The record is from RNAcentral.
GUACCCGCUGAACUUAAGCAUAUCAAUAAGCGGAGGAAAAGAAACCAACAGGGAUUGCCCUAGUAACGGCGAGUGAAGCGGCAACAGCUCAAAUUUGAAAUCUGGUCCUUUCAGGUCCCGAGUUGUAAUUUGUAGAGGGUGCUUCGGCUUACGUCUCGGUCUAAGUUCCUUGGAACAGGACGUCACAGAGGGUGAGAAUCCCGUACGUGGCCGCGACUUCCGCCAUGUGAAGCCCCUUCGACGAGUCGAGUUGUUUGGGAAUGCAGCUCUAAAUGGGAGGUAAAUUUCUUCUAAAGCUAAAUACCGGCCAGAGACCGAUAGCGCACAAGUAGAGUGAUCGAAAGAUGAAAAGCACUUUGGAAAGAGAGUUAAAAAGUACGUGAAAUUGUUGAAAGGGAAGCGCUUGCGACCAGACUUGCCCGCGGUUGUUCCACCGGUCCUUCGGCCGGUGUACUCCUCCGCGGUCAGGCCAGCAUCAGUUUGGGCGGUUGGACAAAGGCCUUGGGAAUGUGGCUCCUCUCGGGGAGUGUUAUAGCCCUCGGCACAAUACAGCCUGUCCGGACUGAGGACCGCGCUUCGGCUAGGAUGCUGGCGUAAUGGUCGUAAGCGGCCCGUCUUGAAACACGGACCAAGGAGUCUAACAUCUAUGCGAGUGUUUGGGUGUCAAACCCGUGCGCGAAAUGAAAGUGAACGGAGGUGGGAGCUUCGGCGCACCAUCGACCGAUCCUGAUGUCUUCGGAUGGAUUUGAGUAAGAGCAUAGCUGUUGGGACCCGAAAGAUGGUGAACUAUGCCUGAAUAGGGUGAAGUCAGAGGAAACUCUGAUGGAGGCUCGCAGCGGUUCUGACGUGCAAAUCGAUCGUCAAAUUUGGGUAUAGGGGCGAAAGACUAAUCGAACCAUCUAGUAGCUGGUUCCUGCCGAAGUUUCCCUCAGGAUAGCAGUGACGUUUUCAGUUUUAUGAGUUAGAGCGAAUGAUUAGAGGACUGGGGGCGAAAUUCGCCUUCACCUAUUCUCAAACUUCGAAUAUGUAAGAAGUCCUUGUUACUUAGUUGAACGUGGACAUUUGAAUGUAUCGUCACUAGUGGGCCAUUUUUGGUAAGCAGAACUGGCG